RNAcentral lists this long non-coding RNA (217 nucleotides) under Cicer arietinum (chickpea). RNAcentral describes it as "long non-coding RNA (CARI_LNC003714)". The record is from RNAcentral. Lineage: Eukaryota; Viridiplantae; Streptophyta; Magnoliopsida; Fabales; Fabaceae.
UCGUGAAUCAUAUAUAUAUGGAUAAAUUUUCAAUGCUAAAACAUGCACUACUUGAAAUUCAUGUGGGGUAAAAAUUAACUUAGGAAAAUAUGGAUUGAGAUGUUAUGCUCUAUGCCAUAUGUAAAGUGCAACACCCCUCUAGAUUGUAUAUAUUCAUAGUGUGCACUCUCACUAACACUAGUUGUACGAUGACAUCCUCAAGAUAAGAAUUUAAAGU